CCUACGGGUGGCAGCAGUAGGGAAUAUUGCUCAAUGGGGGAAACCCUGAAGCAGCGACGCCGCGUGGAGGAUGAAGGUUUUCGUAUUGUAAACUCCUUUUGUUAGGGAAGAUAAUGCCGGUAUCUCACGAAUAAGCACCGGCUAACUCCGUGCCAGCAGCCGCGGUAAUACGGAGGGGGCAAGCGUUACUCGGAAUUACUGGGCGUAAAGAGCGCGUAGGCGGGAUAGCAAGUCAGAUGUGAAAUCCUAAGGCUUAACCAUAGAACUGCUUUUGAAACUGUUAGGCUAGAGUAUGGGAGAGGUAGGUGGAAUUCUUGGUGUAGGGGUAAAAUCCGUAGAGAUCAAGAGGAAUACUCAUUGCGAAGGCGACCUGCUAGAACAUAACUGACGUUGAUGCGCGAAAGCGUGGGGAGCAAACAGGAUUAGAUACCCGGGUAGUC
RNAcentral lists this ribosomal RNA (440 nucleotides) under uncultured bacterium. RNAcentral's name for it is "partial 16S ribosomal RNA". It matches the Rfam family "Bacterial small subunit ribosomal RNA", at positions 338 to 795 of the family's 1533-position model. The record is from RNAcentral.